CACAUGCAAGUCGAACGGCAGCGCGGACUUCGGUCUGGCGGCGAGUGGCGAACGGGUGAGUAAUACAUCGGAACGUGCCCUGUUGUGGGGGAUAACUAGUCGAAAGAUUAGCUAAUACCGCAUACGACCUGAGGGUGAAAGCGGGGGACCGUAAGGCCUCGCGCAAUAGGAGCGGCCGAUGUCUGAUUAGCUAGUUGGUGGGGUAAAGGCUCACCAAGGCGACGAUCAGUAGCUGGUCUGAAAGGACGAUCAGCCACACUGGGACUGAGACACGGUCCAAACUCCUACGGGAGGCAGCAGUGGGGAAUUUUGGACAAUGGGGGCAACCCUGAUCCAGCAAUGCCGCGUGUGUGAAGAAGGCCUUCGGGUUGGACAGCACUUUGGUCCGGAAAGAAAUCGGUCUGGCUAAUACCUGGGGUGGAUGACGGUACCGGACGAUUAAGCACCGGCUAACUACGUGCCAGCAGCCGCGGUAAUACGUAGGGUGCGAGCGUUCAUCCGAAUUACUGGGCGUCAGGCGUGCGCAGGCGGUCCCGUAAGACAGGCGUGAAAUCCCCGGGCUCAACCUGGGAAUUGCGCUUGUGACUGCAAGGCUAGAGUGCGUCAGACGGGGGUAGAAUUCCACGUGUAGCAGUGACAUGCGUAGAGAUGUGCAGGAAUACCGAUGGCGAAGGCAGCCCCUGGGACGUGACUGACGCU
RNAcentral lists this ribosomal RNA (699 nucleotides) under uncultured beta proteobacterium. Its description in RNAcentral is "bacterial SSU rRNA". It matches the Rfam family "Bacterial small subunit ribosomal RNA", at positions 52 to 747 of the family's 1533-position model. The record is from RNAcentral. Lineage: Bacteria; Pseudomonadati; Pseudomonadota; Betaproteobacteria.